GGCAACAGCGAUCCCCGGAAACCACAAGGCGAGAUGUCUGCUCAUGCCUUCCCUGUGCAGACGUGCGGGGAGGAAGAUCAGAAGAAAACCCCACAAGUUCCUAUCAAUUUCACAGAACUUUCCAAGUGCUCUUAGAGUUGAAAGAUAAUGUCUGGGGAAAGAGAAGUCUAAAUCUGAUGAAAGGACAAAGGUGGAUAAAGUAGGCUGUGGGGGGAAAAUGAAGGAUGAUGGACCAGCUAAGGGAGGCAAGGAGAAGGCCCCUAAUGCCCCCCAAAGACCACUGCCUGUUCUGUUCAGGAUCCCCAGCAUCAAAUCCAUAGACCCUGGGAUUGCUUUUGGAGAUGGGUAGACAAGCUUGGUGAGCUGUGGAAUCAGUGACCGUGAGAAGCAGCCUUAGGACACCAAGGUGGGGAAGCUGCUGGAGAAAGACAGGUGGCGUCACCGGCUCUGAGUCUAAAGGGAAAAUGGGUGGCAAGAAGGUCCUGCCAGGGUUGCCCAGAGAAAGGUAGACAAG
This 514-nucleotide long non-coding RNA is filed under the name Homo sapiens (human). RNAcentral's name for it is "non-protein coding lnc-TM9SF2-4:1". Lineage: Eukaryota; Metazoa; Chordata; Mammalia; Primates; Hominidae. The record is from RNAcentral.